UGGGGAAUAUUGCACAAUGGGCGCAAGCCUGAUGCAGCCAUGCCGCGUGUGUGAAGAAGGCCUUCGGGUUGUAAAGCACUUUCAGCGAGGAGGAAGGGUUCAGUGUUAAUAGCACUGUUCAUUGACGUUACUCGCAGAAGAAGCACCGGCUAACUCCGUGCCAGCAGCCGCGGUAAUACGGAGGGUGCAAGCGUUAAUCGGAAUUACUGGGCGUAAAGCGCACGCAGGCGGUUUGUUAAGUCAGAUGUGAAAUCCCGCGCUUAACGUGGAAC
Molecule: ribosomal RNA, 272 nt
Filed under: uncultured bacterium
Lineage: Bacteria
Description: partial 16S ribosomal RNA
Rfam family: Bacterial small subunit ribosomal RNA
Source: RNAcentral